This 116-nucleotide ribosomal RNA is filed under the name Pteropus alecto (black flying fox). The record is from RNAcentral. Lineage: Eukaryota; Metazoa; Chordata; Mammalia; Chiroptera; Pteropodidae.
GUCUAUGACCAUGCCACCCUGAAAAAGCCCGACGUCUGAUCUCAAAAGCUACGCAAGGUUGGGUCUGGUUAGUACUUGGAUGGGAGACGACCUAGGAAGACUAGGUGCUGUAGGCA